AAUAUUGCACAAUGGGGGAAACCCUGAUGCAGCGACACCGCGUGUGGGAUGACGGCCUUCGGGUUGUAAACCACUGUUAGGGGGAACGAAGUUCAGCCGGGCGAACAGUCCGGUUGGGUUGACGGUACUCCCAGAGAAAGCCACGGCUAACUCUGUGCCAGCAGCCGCGGUAAGACGGAGGAGGCUAGCGUUGUUCGGAAUUACUGGGCGUAAAGCGCGCGCAGGCGGUUUUGCAAGUCAGGGGUGAAAGCCCGGGGCUCAACCUCGGAACUGCCCUUGAGACUGCAGGACUGGAGACCGAGAGAGGAGAGUGGAAUUCCCAGUGUAGAGGUGAAAUUCGUAGAUAUUGGGAAGAACACCAGUGGCGAAGGCGGCUCUCUGGCUCGGUACUGACGCUCAUGCGCGAAAGCGUGGGGAGCAAAC
This 423-nucleotide ribosomal RNA is filed under the name uncultured bacterium. RNAcentral's name for it is "bacterial SSU rRNA". It matches the Rfam family "Bacterial small subunit ribosomal RNA", at positions 360 to 773 of the family's 1533-position model. The record is from RNAcentral.